UACGAAGGGGGCUAGCGUUGCUCGGAAUCACUGGGCGUAAAGCGCACGUAGGCGGCUUCUUAAGUCAGGGGUGAAAUCCUGGGGCUCAACCCCAGAACUGCCCUUGAUACUGAGGAGCUUGAGUCCGGGAGAGGUGAGUGGAACUCCGAGUGUAGAGGUGAAAUUCGUAGAUAUUCGGAAGAACACCAGUGGCGAAGGCGGCUCACUGGCCCGGUAAUGACGAUGAGGUGCGGAAGCGUGGGGAGUAAACAGG
This 253-nucleotide ribosomal RNA is filed under the name uncultured bacterium. Its description in RNAcentral is "partial 16S ribosomal RNA". It matches the Rfam family "Bacterial small subunit ribosomal RNA", at positions 524 to 776 of the family's 1533-position model. The record is from RNAcentral.